This is a long non-coding RNA of Ornithodoros turicata, 231 nucleotides long. RefSeq lists it as uncharacterized. The record is from RefSeq and is a predicted model, not a curated record. NCBI's taxonomy places the organism in Eukaryota, Metazoa, Arthropoda, Arachnida, Ixodida, Argasidae. The transcript has 3 exons.
GGACACUAUCUUGUGGUCUCCAGAGACGAGUACAACCUGCGCUAUGGGAAACCGGUACACAUCUUUGUGGAAACUGGCCCUGAGACGUUUCUGAAGAUCAGGAGUAGAGAUCACAAAACGAAAAACUUUGUGUCAGUAACAUGUCUUGAGGAGCUAAUCAGAGUUGCUGUGGGUCAUGGAAUUUGUCAGGAGGGCAACAUACAGGUGUAUUUAAUGGAUGAGUUAUCACUU